RNAcentral lists this ribosomal RNA (484 nucleotides) under uncultured bacterium. RNAcentral describes it as "partial 16S ribosomal RNA". It matches the Rfam family "Bacterial small subunit ribosomal RNA", at positions 30 to 507 of the family's 1533-position model. The record is from RNAcentral.
AUUGAACGCUAGCGGGAUGCUUUACACAUGCAAGUCGAACGGCAGCGCGGACUUCGGUCUGGCGGCGAGUGGCGAACGGGUGAGUAAUGUAUCGGAACGUGCCCAGUAGCGGGGGAUAACUACGCGAAAGCGUAGCUAAUACCGCAUACGCCCUACGGGGGAAAGCAGGGGAUCGUAAGACCUUGCACUAUUGGAGCGGCCGAUAUCGGAUUAGCUAGUUGGUUAGGUAACGGCUCACCAAGGCGACGAUCCGUAGCUGGUUUGAGAGGACGACCAGCCACACUGGGACUGAGACACGGCCCAGACUCCUACGGGAGGCAGCAGUGGGGAAUUUUGGACAAUGGGGGCAACCCUGAUCCAGCCAUCCCGCGUGUGCGAUGAAGGCCUUCGGGUUGUAAAGCACUUUUGGCAGGAAAGAAACGUCGCGGGCUAAUACCCCGUGGAACUGACGGUACCUGCAGAAUAAGCACCGGCUAACUACGUG